CCCGGGAUAGCCCCAGGGAAACCUGGAUUAAUACCGGAUGAGACGGGACCCGCGAUGGCGGGACCCGGGAAAGGCGCUGCGGCGCCGCCGGGGGAUGAGUCUGCGUCCCAGUUAGCUAGACGGCGGGUAACGGCCCACCGUGGCGACGAUGGGUAGCCGGCCUGAGAGGGUCGGACGGCCACAUUGGAACUGAGACACGGUCCAGACUCCUACGGGAGGCAGCAGCUAAGAAUCUUCCGCAAUGGGCGAAAGCCUGACGGAGCGACGCCCGCGUGAACGAAGAAGGCCGUGAGGUUGUAAAGUUCUUUUCGGGAGGGGGAACAACCGUGGCAGGGAAUGGCCGCGGGAUGACGUGAAUCCCGGAAUAAGCCCCGGCUAACUACGUGCCAGCCGCUGC
RNAcentral lists this ribosomal RNA (397 nucleotides) under uncultured bacterium. RNAcentral describes it as "bacterial SSU rRNA". It matches the Rfam family "Bacterial small subunit ribosomal RNA", at positions 137 to 518 of the family's 1533-position model. The record is from RNAcentral.